GAAUGCUCCGCCCCCUGUAGUCUUUGGUACUGUUGCUGAUAGCGAGCCCUUGUGGUGUACUGUGCGCCGGGAAGUGAAGGUUGUCAUUUCCUACCGUACACAGCAGACUGCGGGGUCAUUACAGGCGGCGAUGCCCUGGAAGCUCUGGUAUAAGGCAUGGCAUCAGCUGGUAAUGUAACCCGGGCGAUCCGGCUCCCUGCUAGACACGGUUAUGCUGUGGAGUUCUCUCCUUAUGUACCCACUCGCCUGGCAUGUGCAGCCUCCCAGAACUAUGGCAUCUCAGGUUGUGGUACUUUAUUCUUGCUAGACCAAAAUGAUGCGGGGCUUCUUUGUUUUAAAAGCUUUGAGUGGAGCGAUGCACUCUUUGAUGUGACAUGGAGCGAAAUUAGUGAGAAUAUCCUGGUAACAUCUAGUGGAGAUGGAUCAUUGCAACUAUGGGACAUAUCCAAACCCCAAGAACCUGUACAUGUUUUCAGAGAGCACACCCAAGAGGUUUACAGUGUGGAUUGGAGUCAGACAAGAGGAGAGCAGCUUCUGGUAUCCGGAUCCUGGGAUCAUACUGCAAAACUAUGGGAUCCUUCCAUUGGGAAGUCUUUGUGCACCUUCAUAGGUCAUGAAAAUAUUGUGUACAGCACAAUCUGGUCACCUCAUAUAGCAGGCUGUUUUGCAUCUGCCUCAGGAGACCAAACUUUAAGGAUAUGGGAUGUGAAAUCACCAGUAUCGAAACUAGUAAUUCCUGCUCACCAAGCAGAGAUUUUAAGUUGUGAUUGGUGCAAAUAUGACCAGAAUUUGCUUGUAACGGGUGCAGUUGACUGCUCUUUAAAAGGCUGGGAUUUAAGGACUAUCCGUCAACCUGUCUUUGAACUCCAUGGUCAUACCUAUGCUAUCAGGCGGGUGAAAUUUUCUCCCUUUCAUGCAAGUAUUUUGGGAUCGUGUUCCUAUGAUUUCACAGUGAGGUUAUGGGACUUUUCGAAACCAUCACCAUUGCUUGAAACUAUGGAGCAUCAUACAGAGUUUACUUGUGGCCUUGACUUCAGCAUUCUUGUCCCAGGACAGGUAGCAGACUGUGCGUGGGAUGAAACUGUUAAAGUAUAUGCCCCAUCUUCUCUAUCAGUACCUCAAUGAUAUUCAUUUAUCUACAAAGAAGAAGAGGAAAUUUCUCAGCGACUAAUAAUUACCAUUCAAUUGUUAUUUCUGCCAUUAUUUUUUUCUACUUGUGAUUUCAAAUUCCGAAUAUUGGCAUAGAAAAAACCAUUCAGGGCUUCAAAGAAAUGUUUAAUAGAUAGUACAACUGAAAGGUGGACAUAGUGUUAUACCGAUCCUUGGUUGCAGGGCAGCUUUUGCAGCAGUAAUCUUUCUUCAUGACUGUCUGCAAUGAAAACCAGACCCACAAGCUAAGCCUACUCAUUCUCUGGAAUUAAUAGGACACGGGCACCAAUUUUCUCUGUCAAAUUUAUUCAAGACUGUUUGCUUGCCGGUUAAUAUAUAAAAUAUAUUUGUUUUUCUUUCGUUUCUUGAUUCUAUUUUAUUUCUAAGUUAACUGUCCCUUUAAAGGGGUACUCCGCCCCUAGACAUC
Molecule: RNA transcript, 1576 nt
Organism: Hyla sarda
Lineage: Eukaryota; Metazoa; Chordata; Amphibia; Anura; Hylidae
Gene: PEX7
Gene name: peroxisomal biogenesis factor 7
Exons: 11
Source: RefSeq, a predicted model, not a curated record